UACGUAGGGUGCAAGCGUUGUCCGGAAUUAUUGGGCGUAAAGGGCUCGUAGGCGGUCCAUCGCGUCGGGAGUGAAAAGCUGGGGCUUAACCCCAGUCCUGCUUCCGAUACGGGUGGACUAGAGGUAGGUAGGGGAGAACGGAAUUCCUGGUGCAGCGGUGAAAUGCGCAGAUAUCAGGAGGAACACCGGUGGCGAAGGCGGUUCUCUGGGCCUUACCUGACGCUGAGGAGCGAAAGCAUGGGGAGCAAACAGG
RNAcentral lists this ribosomal RNA (253 nucleotides) under uncultured bacterium. RNAcentral describes it as "partial 16S ribosomal RNA". It matches the Rfam family "Bacterial small subunit ribosomal RNA", at positions 524 to 776 of the family's 1533-position model. The record is from RNAcentral.